CUUUAAAAAAAAUCUUUUUCUCAAAAACUAAUCAACCAGACAAGCUGAAUCUUGUGUGGAUAACCCUUAGGUAGUGCUGAUUCAAGUCUAUUUUACUACCUUGUUCAGAAAGUUUGUUUGACUCCAUAAUUUAAACUGAUUUUUAAUGGCUGUCGUUACUCAGGUAAGCAAUGUGGCCCAUGGGCCUCUUGUUACUGAACUCUUUGCAAUGUUACAUUUGCAAAAAUAAACUUCCUAGGUAGUAUAUGAAAGUGACCAACAGCUAUAGCUACAUGUGUGGCUCUAUGUCCUGUCCCCUUAGGAUCUGUUCACUUCCUCAUACAACCUUUUGCGGUGUCUGUUGUAGUGGCUCAUCUUACAUCAAAUGGAAUGGAUCCAUGCCAGGAUUCACUUUUCCUUCCCAUGCUGGUUCCAGUCCAGUAAACUGUCACAGUCUGGGAAAUUCUGUCACUGGUGAUGCCGCAGAAAGAAAACACUAUGGAUGCACAUGAUGCUACUUCCUGAAUGGUGCUGAACCUGUUUGUCAACAUGUGGAACCCAUGUGUACUUGAGGGAGAAGUCUCCCUUGAUAAAGUUCAACAAUGGCGGAUAAACAAUGUGGGAUGCUGUCUUGUCAACAACAGUGAAAUUUGACACCUGUAUACCCGUAUUUCUACCAAUUGUCUCAGUCUUCUUUGUUGUGUACAUCAGACAGAUGAUGGACCACUCUACUUCUUUUGACAACAGGUGCCCCUACAGAUUCACAAAGUUCCAAUGUUGAAUGUCCAUGACCCUGGUUGAUCCGCGACAGGAAAAGGAAUAAAGUUGGCAGGAAUUUCCGCACUGUCUUUGGUAGCAGCUGAUGAUGGAACUGACAGCAGUUGACAUGGCCUGUUUCUUCAAAGAUGCACCAGAAGCAGCAGCACUAUCUCCAUCACUGGUGAAAUGGGAAAUGACAAGUGGACGGUCAUCACUUUGCAGCUCAACGAUGC
This is a long non-coding RNA of Magallana angulata, 971 nucleotides long. RefSeq lists it as uncharacterized. The record is from RefSeq and is a predicted model, not a curated record. NCBI's taxonomy places the organism in Eukaryota, Metazoa, Mollusca, Bivalvia, Ostreida, Ostreidae. The transcript has 7 exons.